ACCGACCUGCUCCGCGCAUGGUGCCUCGUUCUACGGAAGUGCUUUGUUGAUGAGUGUUUAGUGCACGUUCUCGUGUCGUUUUACACGCUGACCUCUUUCCUUGACAUUAAAAUGACACCGCGGGAUUCUUCUCAAAGGGGUUGUUCAAUGAGGCGAUGUCAUCGAAUGCAAAAUUGAUGAGUCAGUGCUCACCUGCUCCCAGUCAAGCAUGAAUCCUCAAAGGACGGAAGGCGUUUACUGAAGAGUCACCAGAUUGUGACAGGACCUGGACAUCCCUGCUGACGAUGCCUUCCCCUCUCAGGACAAGACUGAUGCAGCUCGUCAUAUGUGCUUUCCGGUUACACCAAGACUGCCACAAACUUGUGAGAUGGCUGCAGGUUGCCAGGAGAGGUCUGAGAACCGUUGUUCAAGGAGAAGUGAUUCAAUUUCAAAUCGGC
Molecule: long non-coding RNA, 437 nt
Organism: Esox lucius (northern pike)
Lineage: Eukaryota; Metazoa; Chordata; Actinopteri; Esociformes; Esocidae
Source: Ensembl